CAUUCGUCAAAGGUAAAACUAAUCCAGCAAGGCCGCCCAGCGUGUCGACGAUCCCGAUAGGAGUCGCGUAUCUCGUUCUCAGGACACGACGGAUGAGCGAUGGUUACCACGCCAAACGCCGAUUUUCCCCGGGUAGCGUUAGUAAGCUGCUCUGUUUUGGACCAGCACCAUCAGCACUGGCCCUCCCUGUAAAUGUAAAAUUACUCCUCGGGUUCAUGACGCCCUAUGCUUUCAGUAUUAACAAAAUUAUUAUGUUGGGAAAAUGUAGUACCAAUGUUGGGCCUUGCCAGACCAGCUUUAAUCUAAAACGAAUUAUCAAGGGGGUCCCCAUAACAACCCCGAUCGUGUUUGGAGCGCUCAAUUAUGGAAC
Molecule: long non-coding RNA, 370 nt
Filed under: Hordeum vulgare
Lineage: Eukaryota; Viridiplantae; Streptophyta; Magnoliopsida; Poales; Poaceae
Description: long non-coding RNA (HVUL_LNC003297)
Source: RNAcentral